This 351-nucleotide long non-coding RNA is filed under the name Malus domestica (apple). Its description in RNAcentral is "long non-coding RNA (MDOM_LNC004739)". Lineage: Eukaryota; Viridiplantae; Streptophyta; Magnoliopsida; Rosales; Rosaceae. The record is from RNAcentral.
GGCCGGGGGCCAGUGCGAGGGGAGAAGGCGCCAAAGCUGGAGAUUUCACGGUGGGUGCUGGAGCUGGUACCUGAGCUGGCGGAGACGCAAGAGGGGCCGGUGGUGGUGUUGCUGGUGGUGGAGUGGCGGGUGGCGGAGUGGCUGGUGGUGGUGUGGCCGGUGGUGGAGUAGCGGGUGGAGGAGUAGCUGGAGGUGGAGUUGCGGGUGGAGGAGCGUUGACUGGAGGUGGGGUGGCCGGCGGGGGAGCUGAGACAGGGGGAGGAGUUGAUGGAGGCGGAGACGUGGUAACUGGGGGCGGUGCUGUGGCAACGGGAGGAGGAGCUGACGUGGGAGGAGGGGUGGAUGCGGGAG